GUGCCAGCCGCCGCGGUAAUACAGAGGGUGCGAGCGUUGUCCGGAAUCACUGGGCGUAAAGGGCGCGUAGGCGGUUUUGUAAGUCGGGGGUGAAAUGCUGCGGCUCAACCGCAGCGCUGCCUUCGAGACUGCAAGACUGGAGCACGGUAGAGGCGGAUGGAAUUCCCGGUGUAGCGGUGGAAUGCGUAGAGAUCGGGAAGAACACCAAUGGCGAAGGCAGUCCGCUGGGCCGUUGCUGACGCUGAGGCGCGACAGCGUGGGGAGCAAACAGGAUUAGAAACCCGCGUAGUCC
RNAcentral lists this ribosomal RNA (292 nucleotides) under uncultured bacterium. RNAcentral's name for it is "partial 16S ribosomal RNA". It matches the Rfam family "Bacterial small subunit ribosomal RNA", at positions 505 to 796 of the family's 1533-position model. The record is from RNAcentral.